CAGAAUACGCGAUUGUUUCAACAAAAUGAUGCCAACUGCCGUUCAAACCAAAAUGUGUCUUCUAGCCUUUGAUGCAGUUAAAUGGGUUACACGGUACAGUGAAGCAGGACCACCCCCUGUGUGUGUGUGUGUAUUCUUGCACUGUUACUUGACGCUUAAACUCACUCUCACUCUGUAACUCACUCUGUAACUCACUCUGCUCUGUGGACGCUCAGAGGGGAUGAUUGACAGUCUUCACUACAGCACUAUCAGGGAGAUAUAGAUGAAUAUUGUAUAUCAAUUAUCCAAUUUAUUGCCAUCUUCGUUGAGUAAUCCAAUUAUUUUAGUAUUGUUUUGUGAGGCGACACUGCCAUUCUCAUUAGAACCUGCAACCUUCCAGACACAAGCCUGCCUUCCUAACCACCAGCUCCAGUUCUUUUGGUUCCACCUUCUAAUUUAUCUGUCAAUAAAUAGUGUAAACACAAGUGUUUCUGUACCCAUCUCUGUAUCAGUGCUGGGACAACACCUUAUAUUCAGGUCAUACUGGCAUAAGUUUCAUUAACCAAUAACACCUUGAAAUGCCAUCAGCUGACAUCCGAGAAGAUGCGAUAAGCCAAGGGUGAAACUAGUUCAAUAUUUUUUUUCCAUUUUCUUUGAAUUAACAUUAUUUUUACGGUUGUGCUACAACUAAUUAUGACCAUCUAUUAAAACAUCCAGACACAGGUAUACCAUUUUUUUCUCGAGUACAAACACUGAAGCCACAAGGAUAUUAUAUACUGGAUAUAUACUGUAUGGGUUGCCAUUUCCUGCAAUUAUCUCCCCGAUCUGACUUAAAGAUGUGCAAAUUGAAUAGACCGAACCUCUUCAUUGAAAAUCUUUCUUUGUUCCACUUGGUAGUGCAUUACUGUGCUGCUUCACAUGACAACUACAGCUGAUGUCUGAUUACUUUCUCUUUACCAGUCAUUAAGUAUCCAUGAACUUGAAACGAUCAGAUUAGCAGUCUCUUCCUUUUGUCAGUGUGGCUUUUGGUGACACAUAAAACUUAACUCUAAGCUCCUCCUAUUCAUUACAAUAAAUGGGAUCAACUGUUUAUUACUUUCUUUCACCUUCAGUACAAAAGCACCUUCCCUGCCACUUACGAACAAGUCUCAUUUUAAGCCUCCUGGUGUUUGCACACAUUGUUUUUGUUGACAAUAGGUAAAAUCUAGGCUAAAUCUGAUCUAGAAUAUUCCUGAGACACCAUGUUGCCUUUGUUUCACAUACUGUAUUGUCCCUGAAAGAGGUGAGUAGUGUCUUUUACAGGCUCCUCCUGGUAGUUGUCUACUCAUUGUCAUUCCCUGGGCUUAAUUUACGGUAAUAAAUAUAAAGUUAACUUUGUUCUGUUGCCAUACCAUCUAUGAAAGAAACCUUUUACGUACAUGGUUCAAUAUGAGUGAGUAGUACUAAGAGUAAUUAGCAAAGAUCUUUUUAGGAAUUACACAUAAAUUAGUAAAGUAUUUUUUCCUGUUAUGUCCUGAAAACUGUAAGGCAAAAUACACAACUGGAAAAAGGUUUUUAGUUAUUCGUCUCUGUUGCCUGCCACAAGGAAACUAUUAAUUUAUCAAUCGAAGCAUCAAUAACGUUUCAUGUUUCUCUAGUUUUGCCUUUUUGCAGUUUACUGUAAAUAUGUCAUUAAAAGCAUGAAGUCUUCAGAAGAAAUGUUAUAUAUAUAUAUAUAUAUAUAUAUAUAUACCCCUACACAACAGUCCCUAAUGUUGAACCACAUCAUCCUUUUAUUAGUCAGUUGUUCAAUACAACAAAAUUGUAAAUAUUCUAUGAUAAAACCACUCUUCAAAAUUAUUAUGAUAGUUAUUUAAAAACAGCAGGAACUGAAAUAGAAUUUGAAAUGACAGAUCAGGGACUAAGUGCCUACAUACAGUAUUUACAUUAACUUUGUGCUUCUUUUCAAACAAUCCCCUCUCAAAAAAAAAAAAA
This is a long non-coding RNA of Cynoglossus semilaevis (tongue sole), 1953 nucleotides long. RefSeq lists it as uncharacterized. The transcript is spliced from 2 exons. The record is from RefSeq and is a predicted model, not a curated record. Lineage: Eukaryota; Metazoa; Chordata; Actinopteri; Pleuronectiformes; Cynoglossidae.